RNAcentral lists this unclassified non-coding RNA (400 nucleotides) under Hevea brasiliensis (rubber tree). Lineage: Eukaryota; Viridiplantae; Streptophyta; Magnoliopsida; Malpighiales; Euphorbiaceae. The record is from RNAcentral.
UUUUGAAUAUAAGAGUUCACUAAGUUCAAAUCAACUCGUUGACUUGACAUGCGCUGACAAGUUCUUCCAUAUCAUGGUGUUUCUGUGACUUAUCUGUAAUGACCUCCGAGAUAAGAAGGUCUAGCUCUUUCCGAUCAAUCACGUCGAAACACCCAAAGUGGCGAUGUCUAAAUACCUUCAAUUUCAACACACUGGAUUUUAACCAAGAAGCAAUAGGUCCCAUGUUUUCCUCAUCGUAACACAUAGGAACCUCAGUUUUGGACCAUGCCUCAACAUGUCGUUCGAUGAAAGAACAUUGACAGAAUCUUUUCUCUUGAGAAUAAAGCAUUCGAACCCCGCAACUGAUAACAUUAGAACAAACUAAACGAUAACCGUUCAUAUCUUCAGGGUAGAAUUCCAC